GGGCCUGGUCAACAGGGGUCCAGGAGC
Molecule: non-coding RNA, 27 nt
Filed under: Homo sapiens (human)
Lineage: Eukaryota; Metazoa; Chordata; Mammalia; Primates; Hominidae
Source: RNAcentral